CCUACGGGGGGCAGCAGUGGGGAAUAUUGGACAAUGGGCGAAAGCCUGAUCCAGCAAUGCCGCGUGUGUGAAGAAGGCCUUCGGGUUGUAAAGCACUUUCAGUGGGGAAGAAAGCCUUGGGGCUAAUACCCUCGAGGAAGGACAUCACCCACAGAAGAAGCACCGGCUAACUCCGUGCCAGCAGCCGCGGUAAUACGGAGGGUGCGAGCGUUAAUCGGAAUUACUGGGCGUAAAGCGCGCGUAGGCGGUCUGAUAAGCCGGUUGUGAAAGCCCCGGGCUCAACCUGGGAACGGCAUCCGGAACUGUCAGGCUAGAGUGCAGGAGAGGAAGGUAGAAUUCCCGGUGUAGCGGUGAAAUGCGUAGAGAUCGGGAGGAAUACCAGUGGCGAAGGCGGCCUUCUGGACUGACACUGACGCUGAGGUGCGAAAGCGUGGGUAGCAAACAGGAUUAGAUACCCCAGUAGUC
Molecule: ribosomal RNA, 465 nt
Filed under: Vreelandella stevensii
Lineage: Bacteria; Pseudomonadati; Pseudomonadota; Gammaproteobacteria; Oceanospirillales; Halomonadaceae
Description: partial 16S ribosomal RNA
Rfam family: Bacterial small subunit ribosomal RNA
Source: RNAcentral